RNAcentral lists this transfer RNA (60 nucleotides) under Ipomoea nil (Japanese morning glory). It matches the Rfam family "tRNA", at positions 6 to 65 of the family's 71-position model. Rfam says of the family: Transfer RNA (tRNA) molecules are approximately 80 nucleotides in length. Lineage: Eukaryota; Viridiplantae; Streptophyta; Magnoliopsida; Solanales; Convolvulaceae. The record is from Rfam by way of RNAcentral.
AGUGGUCUAGUGGUAGAAUAGUACCCUGCCACGGUAUAGACCCGAGUUCGAUUCUUGACU